Astatotilapia calliptera (eastern happy) is the source of this 1276-nucleotide long non-coding RNA. The record is from Ensembl. NCBI's taxonomy places the organism in Eukaryota, Metazoa, Chordata, Actinopteri, Cichliformes, Cichlidae.
UCUGUGUGUGUUGUGUUUGUGUGUGUCAAACUGUCCUAACAAAAACAGCCCCAAAACUGGAGAGACUCCAGAGUCUCUGGAAAAACUAUACAAGAGACUGAUUGACCCCUGUGUGGGUAACACAACCGUUGGACAUUCCCUUUGUUUAACAGGAGUGUUUGAAGGAGUGGCUCUUCCGUUACUCAGGAAACAAAAGAGCAAUUUUAGACUUACAGGAACUCAGAGUCUGAAGCGACUACUGCGGGAGCUGUGUAAGGAAAAUACACCUUUUCACCUAGAAGUUGAGUACAUCUUGAUUUAGAACAGAACAAGAAACAUUGAAGAUGCCUGUUCGUCGUUUUCAUAGUGAACCUCUGGAAAACGCAGAGAUUCUCUAUGAAGACACAUAUCGAACUGGUAUAAGAUGUAACCUCAUUUUCUUCACCCACUCUGGAACACACUACAGGGCUGCAAUAGAAGAAGCUUACCCUCAAUCCAAGGCUAUUCGAAUGGAAAUAAACAAGAAAUUCAAACUUGAGCUCUUUGAUGGAGGCACUGUGUCUAUAUUUGACAGUGGAAUCAUUGUGAUUCAAGGUACAGAAGAAAACCUUGAUGCAUUUGAGAACAGGUUUGACACAAUUAAACAAAACGUAAACAGCAGAAGACAAGAACAGGUGCAGAAAACAUUACAGCAAAUGAAAGUUGAAGAAUCUGAUUCUGAAACAGAAGGACGAGACAAACAGAAACAGUCUAAAUGAAAUGUGAUACAACAAGAAAAAAACAGGAAACAGCAGAAACAAUAUGGACAUUUGAACUAUUAGUAAGUGAAUAUUAAAGUUUUUGCUCCUUGUGUUUAAAAAUUAUUAGAUAUUUAAGUCUGACUUGCAAUAUUUUUAUAAUCUUUAUUCUCUUUUAAAUUCUGCUGUUCAUUUGAUGUAUCAUUGUUUUUUAUAUCAUAUUUCAUAUUACAAAUAUGAAUCUCUUUCAGUCUGUAGGUUUGAAGAAUUAUAGUUUUGUACCCACUGAGGUCCGUCUCAUAUCUGAAGUGGUUGUACAUGUUGUCCAGGUUGAUGGCCUCGUCUGCUUGCAGCUUUGACUUCAUGCACAUCAGCUGGUCCAAAUGGUCCACUUCAAGACAAUUUCUGGAUGCUGUUUUGUUAUCAGCUGUGUACCAACCUGACUUCUACACAACACAACUAAUGGUCCCAAUCCCAUUAAGAAGGCAAGAAAUUCCACAACUGAACCCUGACAAGGCACAUCUGUGAAGUGAAAACCAUUUCAGGAGACUACACGAAGC